Non-coding RNA from Polypterus senegalus (gray bichir), 872 nucleotides. NCBI's taxonomy places the organism in Eukaryota, Metazoa, Chordata, Cladistia, Polypteriformes, Polypteridae. The record is from the annotation of a RefSeq genome assembly.
ACUACUUUAUAUAAAAUAGCAGACCAGAUAGAUAUUUUACAGUUUGCUGAAGAAUUGUUUGGUAAAGAAGAUCAACUUCUCAAGAUGAACCUCGUACAGAUCCUGUGUACCAUUUUAUUACUGGGGGUUUCUGUGAUUGCUUUUCCUGCUAUUUUCUCUCAGUCUCCAUCAGUUAUUCCUGUGACUCCUGGACAGUCUGUCACCCUGGAAUGUGCUGUGAAAAAUGAAAAUGUUUCAAUGUGUGGCUGUGUUCUGGAUUCGCCAGUCACCUGGAAAGGCACCUGAAGGUGUUCUAUUUUACAUGCCUGACAACAAAAUCUACAGAGCUCCUGCGAUAACAGAUCGAUUUGUACCUUCAAGAGAUACAGUCAGGAGUUAUUACCUUCUCACAAUUAAUAAUGUCGAGGCAAAUGACGACUCCAAAUACUACUGUUUUGUUUACUAUGGUGAUGGGUCUCAAGCAUGGGGAGAAGGAACUCGCGUACAAGUUCUGAAAAGUGACUUGUCUCCCCCAUCUGUUCAAGUGUUUCGCACCCCAGAAGAGCAGCUCAGUGGUUCAGGUUAUGUGACCAUCAGCUGCCUGGUGAGCGGCUUCUUCCCGGGUUACAUAGACAUCCAGUGGACUGUGGAUGGUCAGCGAGUGACAGACAACGUUCAGUCCAGCCAGGUGACUUUGGACAGCAGUGGAAAUUCCUUCUUGGCCAUUAGUUACCUGAAGCUGCCCAUUGCUAAGUGGAAGACUAAUGUGAGAUACUUCUGUAUUGUCACUCAUGAAUCCAGUAAGAUUCCAGUCAUUGGUUCUGUGGCACUUCAAGACUGCAAUUCCUUCUAAAGGGCUUUGGUUCAGCUUCACAAACACCAAAAGUAAAAAA